Molecule: RNA transcript, 5527 nt
Organism: Meriones unguiculatus (Mongolian gerbil)
Lineage: Eukaryota; Metazoa; Chordata; Mammalia; Rodentia; Muridae
Gene: Nfx1
Gene name: nuclear transcription factor, X-box binding 1
Exons: 25
Source: RefSeq, a predicted model, not a curated record
GCCUGACGUCCAAGUGCGCCAUCCCACUGUCUGCUCCGGCGGCACCACCCCCGAGGCCCUCCACGCGCGCACGCAGGAGCCGGAAAUCCGGAACACGUGACCAGGUGACAGCGCUCGCGCGGCGCUCGCUUGAGGUGCUGCGGCACGGGAUGGCGGAGGCGCCUCCGGUCUCAGGCACUUUUAAAUUUAAUACAGAUGCUGCUGAGUUCAUUCCUCAGGAGAGAAAAAAUUCUGGUCUAAAUUGUGGGACUGAAAGAAGACUAGACUCUAAUAGGAUUAGCAGAAGAAAUUAUAGUUCCUCACCUCUCUGUCACCUUCCUAGACAGGUCCCUUAUGAUGAUAUCUCUACUAUUCAUCAGCAUAACUAUGACUCUGGAAGCAAACCUAAGAGUCAGCAGCUUUUCUUCCAGUCAUCUAAUAAAUCCCUCAGAAACCAUGGCUUUCCAAACCAGCCAUGGCAGAGAUUAAGGAAUGAGAAGCUCCAGAACAGAGUCAAGAAAGCACAAGGGCUCACUGAGCAGACAUCAGACACAUCGAGUUUAGAAAGUGUAGCCAGAUCAGAGAGUGGCGCACCUCCUAGAGAGCACAGCCCUCCGGAGAGUGAGAAGGAGGUGGUCAUUGCAGAUCCCAGGGGAGCCAAACCCAAGAAGGCAGCACAGCUUACCUACAGCUAUGGCAGAGGACCAAAAGCCAAAGGGAAACCCAAGUGUGAGUGGGGUAACAGAAUGAGUCCUAAGUCUGAGGAUGAAAGUACCAGGCCUGUGGGGAUUUCCCACACUGACUCUUCAGAUGCUUCCUGUAGAAAAGCUGUAGUGGAUGGAUAUGUGUCCAGACGGAAUGAGCAGAGAAGAUUCCUGCAGAAGAGGCCUCCUUGGGAAGUGGAGGGGGCCAGACCACGACCAGGCAGGAACCCACCCAAACAGGAGAGUCAGCGACAAAUAAAUGCAGGGCCCAAAAACAGCAUGCCCCCCAUUCCAAAGGAUAAUCUCAGAGAAAGACCAGCAAAGUCAGCCUGUGACACUGGGAAUUUGUCAGGUGUCAACAAGUCUUCCAGAAGGGUUAACCAAGAGAAAAAUGCUGUCAGGAGACAGGAGCCUCAAGGGCUGUCUCCCUUCCCCAGAGGCAAACAGAGCCAUGUGCUGAAGAAUGUGGAAACACACACAGGUUCCCUAAUUGAGCAACUAACUACAGAAAAAUAUGAGUGUAUGGUGUGCUGUGAACUGGUUCAAGUUACAGCCCCAGUGUGGAGCUGUCAGAGCUGUUUUCACGUCUUCCAUUUGAACUGCAUAAAGAAAUGGGCCCGGUCUCCAGCAUCUCAUGCAGAUGGCCAGAGUGGUUGGCGGUGCCCUGCUUGUCAGAAUGUUUCUGCACAUGUUCCUAACACGUAUACUUGUUUCUGUGGCAAAGUGAAGAAUCCUGAAUGGAGCAGAAAUGAAAUCCCACAUAGUUGUGGUGAGGUUUGUAGAAAGAAACAGCCUGGCCAGGACUGUCCACAUUCCUGUAACCUUCUCUGCCAUCCUGGACCCUGCCCACCCUGUCCUGCUUUUACGACUAAAACUUGUGAAUGUGGACGGACCAGGCACACAGUUCGCUGUGGCCAGGCUGUCUCUGUCCACUGUUCUAAUGCAUGUGAGAAUAUUCUGAACUGUGGCCAGCACCACUGUGCUGAGCUGUGCCAUGGGGGUCAAUGCCAGCCUUGCCGAAUCAUACUGAACCAGGUGUGCUACUGUGGCAGCACCUCCCGGGACAUGUUAUGUGGAACAGAUGUGGGGAAGUCUGAUGGAUAUGGGGACUUCAGCUGUUUAAAGAUAUGUGGCAAGGACUUGAAAUGUGGGAGCCAUACCUGUUCUCAAGUGUGCCACCCACAGCCCUGUCAGCCUUGCCCACGCCUCCCCCAUUUGGUGCGAUGUUGCCCUUGUGGCCAAACCCCUCUUAGCCAGUUGCUGGAACUUGGAAGUAAUGGUCGGAAAACAUGCAUGGACCCUGUCCCUUCGUGUGGAAAAGUGUGUGGCAAACCCUUGUCCUGUGGCUCCUCAGAUUUCAUUCAUACCUGUGAAAAGCUCUGUCAUGAAGGAGACUGUGGGCCAUGCUCUCGCACAUCAGUUAUUUCCUGUAGAUGCUCUUUCAAAACCAAGGAGCUUCCAUGUACCAGUCUUAAAAGUGAAGAUGCUACAUUUAUGUGUGACAAGCGGUGUAACAAGAAACGAUUGUGUGGACGACAUAAAUGUAACGAGAUCUGCUGUGUGGACAAGGAGCACAAGUGUCCUUUGAUUUGUGGGAGGAAACUCCGUUGUGGCCUUCAUCGGUGUGAGGAACCUUGUCAUCGAGGGAACUGUCAGACCUGCUGGCAAGCCAGUUUUGAUGAGUUAACCUGCCACUGUGGUGCCUCUGUGAUCUACCCACCAGUUCCCUGUGGGACUAGACCUCCUGAGUGUACCCAAGCUUGUGCCAGGAGCCAUGAAUGUGACCAUCCAGUAUAUCAUUCUUGUCAUAGUGAAGAGAAAUGUCCCCCUUGUACUUUCUUAACUCAGAAGUGGUGCAUGGGCAAGCAUGAGUUACGAAACAACAUCCCCUGUCACCUGGUUGAUAUCUCUUGCGGAUUACCCUGCAGUGCCAUGCUACCCUGUGGGAUGCACAAAUGUCAAAGACUCUGUCACAAAGGAGACUGUCUUGUGGAUGAGGCCUGCAAGCAGCCCUGUACCACACCCAGAGCUGACUGUGGCCACCCCUGUAUGGCACCCUGCCACCCCAGUUUACCCUGCCCUGCGUCAGCUUGUAAGGCCAAGGUGGAGUUACAGUGUGGAUGUGGGAGAAGAAAGGAGAUGGUGAUGUGCUCUGAGGCGUCCGGUACUUAUCAGAGAAUAACUGCUAUUUCUAUGGCCUCUAAAAUAACAGACAUGCAUCUUGGAGACUCAGUGGAGAUCAACAAGUUCAUUACCAAGAAAGAAGUACAGCGAGCCAGGCUGCAGUGUGAUGAGGAGUGCUCUGCCUUGGAAAGAAAGAAGAGGUUGGCAGAGGCAUUUGACAUCAGUGAUGAUUCUGAUCCUUUCAAUUUGCGUUCUUCAGCAUCAAAGUUCAGUGACAGUUUGAAAGAUGAUGCCAGGAAAGACUUAAAGUUUAUCAGUGACGUUGAGAAGGAAAUGGAAACACUUGUGGAGGCCGUGAAUAAGGGAAAGAAUACUAAGAAAAGCUACAGCUUCCCUCCUAUGAACAGGGACCACCGCCGCAUCAUUCAUGACCUGGCCCAGGUUUAUGGCCUGGAGAGUGUGAGCUAUGACAGUGAACCAAAGAGAAAUGUUGUGGUCACUGCCAUCAGAGGGAAGUCCAUUUGUCCUCCUACCACACUGACCAGUGUGCUCGACAGAGAAAUGCAGACACGGCCUCCACCACCGAUUCCUCAUCACCGACACCAGACAGACAAGACUCCCGGGAGCAGUAAUUUACAGAAGAUAUCGAAGGAGCCAGUGAUCGACUACUUUGAUGUCCAGGACUGAGAAGAUAGAUACACUCAGAUAAAAGAAUGAUUCUAUGUAGUGGAGACUCAUUUGCCAGCAGAUAUAUCAUGCCCAUUGUUCUUGUGUGGCAGAACCCCAGCACACAUGCUGUCUUGUGCUGAUACAUCCAUAGCAUGAGUGUGUCAGAACCCCCUUCUUGGCUCCUAUCCCAAGUAUCUCGCUGUGGCCAGAUUUCUGGCUAUGUGGCCACAGGAUUCCUAGUCAGAUGUUUGAAGAGGCUCCUCACACCACCAUGGAGAGGUUGGGGAGUAUAGUAUUUAUUUGGAUAAACCAGGAUUUUUAUUCCGAACUGGCUUGUGGCACCUAGCUGUAGUCUUAGUUAUCCCAGUUGUUCUCCUGGUGUACCUCAGUUUCCUCAUGUAGGAAGACACAUGAACUACUGACCAUCGGGAAACCACGUUGGUAAUCAUACGUCUUAAACAUAGCCAUCUUACCUAGACUUGGCUGAAAGCUCCCAUGUCUCUCUAGACUGGUGAGGUUUUAUAGAAUUCCAUUUUCUCGAGUCCCUGGCAUUUUACCGCAUUACCAUGUCUACAGGGACAGUUCAACUGUCUCCCAUAAUGGUGAGAACUUGGAGCAACUUCUUCUACCACAUUCACACUGCCAUCGGCACCACACGGACUCUCCCUACACCUGAGCUCUGAAUUGUGUGGACAGUGCAGAGCUUAUGCCAAGCAGCUUACUGUCUGGAUUCUUCAGCUUCCUUCCUUUAAGGCAGCUGUGUGGCCAUCCGUAUUGGCCCCUCUUCAUUGCAAGCUAGACUUCUUUUUUGUUACUGUUACUUGGUUUUUUCAAGGCAAGGUUUCUCUAUGUAGCCCUGGAUGUCCCAGAACUCACUCUGUAGAACAGUCUAGCCCUGAACUUAGAGAUCCGCCUGCCUCUGUCUCCCAAGUGGUGGGGAGUAAAGGUGUUUGCCACCACUGUCUGGCUUCUUUUUGCUUUAAAAUAAAUUUUGAGCCCCCAGAAACUUGGAUCAUAAAACAAGACACUUAAUUUUCACCUUUUUUAUUUUAUUUUUUAUUUUAUUUUAUUUUAUAUUUUAUUUGAGACAGGAUCUCACUAAAUUGCUUAAGCCCAUUCAGAUCUUAAACUCUCAGCCUCCUGAGUGCUAGGAGCACAGGCCUCUAUCCCAAACCCAUUGGAGAUACUCAAUUUUAUAGGAAAAGCUAGGCUUCUCUUUGGUCCUAACUACAGUCUGUGUGGGAAUCAUGAGGAUGUAACGGCUGAGGUGACAGGAGAGAAGUGAUGGAAACAACAAAGCCUCUCUGGGCCUGUUCAGUACAGGGUCUGAGCCAACACCCAACAGGAAGUCCGUGUGCAGCUGCCGUCCAGGCUAAGUGAGUGCUCUGGCUGUGUGUGCCCCUCAGGAAAUCGAGAGGCAAAUCUGACUUCAUAUUCUAGCCCUGCCAUUUGACAGGGUGGGGGCUCUCCCUGCCUAGCCUGAGAUGGGAGGGUUAAAGGAACCACAGAUGACACACAGGCCUGGAAAGUGUAUGUCUACAACACUAACCAAGUAAAGAAUGUGAUGCCAGUUGGGCCUCUCCUGAUAAACAGAUGGCCUUGUCCCAGUCUCAUGGUGGGACUGGUAAAACACAUGUGCUUGAGGAAGGAUUAAUUGUCCAAAGUAGGCAGAAAAUGGUGAUGAGGCUUGAGGCUAACAGCAAUGUGCUAAGUCAUGGGCAAACCUAAGCAGGGUAGCAAGGCUGCAUUUAUGAUCUGUAUCAGCAGUCCACAGAUGUUUUCCAGAAGAUGCCAAAGUAAAUACUUUUUUAAAUAUAAAGUUUAUUAUCAAAAGAAACUUGCAAAUAAAAAUAUAACACCAAAAUUUUCCAGAUCCAAAGCCUGUAGAACUCAGUGAACUUUUGUACAGUUGGAAUAGGCGUUUGGAACAAAAACUUUGGGGCUUCACAUUAAACUACACUCGAUGGGUGUGGUGGCACGCACCUGUAAUUUCAGCACUCAGAGGGGCAGAUGAAGGCAGAUCUUUGUGAGUUGGAGGCCAGCCUGGUCUA